GUGCCGCUGGUGUAGUCAUAUCAUGCAAGAUUCCCAUUCUUGUGACCUGGGUUCGAUUCCUGGGCGGCACA
This is a transfer RNA of Apaloderma vittatum (bar-tailed trogon), 71 nucleotides long. It matches the Rfam family "tRNA". Rfam says of the family: Transfer RNA (tRNA) molecules are approximately 80 nucleotides in length. Their secondary structure includes four short double-helical elements and three loops (D, anti-codon, and T loops). NCBI's taxonomy places the organism in Eukaryota, Metazoa, Chordata, Aves, Trogoniformes, Trogonidae. The record is from Rfam.